UGAAAGUAUGACUCUUGCUUAUUUUAUUUUGCUUAAAUAAGAAGUGUAUAUGUAAUUGUUUAUAUAAAAUUCUUUUGGCAGUACCUGGACCUAUGAUUUAUUAUAUAUUAUUAUUAAUGGUUAUUAUUUUUAAGUUUGUCAUAUAUUGUGCCAGCAGCCGCGGUUAUACAAUAGAUUUAAGUAAAAUUUUAUUAAGCUGUAGUUAAUAUUAUGUAUUUUAAUUAUAUGUAAUUUAUUGAAUAAUUUAGGUGAAAUUAAUUGUUGCUAUUUAUUUAUAAUUAUUAUUUUCAUUUUGAAGCUAUAAAGGUUAUUGGAUAGACCAGGAUUAGAUACCCUGUUAUUUUUCUAUAAAUUAGGGAGGUUUGAGUAGUAGUAGUGUUUUCUGAAACUAAAGGAGCUUGGCGGUAUUUUAGUCUUAUUAGAGGAGCUUGUACAUUAAUCGAUACUCCCCGUAUAUCUUACCUAUUUUUAGUUUGUAUAUCGCUGUCUUCAGAUUAAUCUAGAAGGGGUUUUCAGAAAAAAUAUAUUUUUUAAAGUCAAGUCAAGGUGCAGCGUAUAUUUAGGGAUAUUAUGAGCUACAUUGAUAUGAUUUUAGUUGGAUUUUGUUCUUGUAAUAGUAUGGUGAAAUAGGAUUUAAUUGUAAUAUUAAUUAUUUAAUUAAUGUGAAUUUAGUACUGAAAUAUGUACAUAUCGCCCGUCACUCUCGUUAAUUAGAUGAGAAAAGUCGUAACAAAGUAGGGGUAUCGGAAGAUGUACCUAGAGAAGA
This 766-nucleotide non-coding RNA is filed under the name Mecistocephalus marmoratus. Lineage: Eukaryota; Metazoa; Arthropoda; Chilopoda; Geophilomorpha; Mecistocephalidae. The record is from RNAcentral.